AACUAGAGGCUCUAAAGAGCCUGUGUCGCUCACCUAGGUCUAUGUGAAUAUUAAACAAUGGACACAGAUGGAUUCAUGACAAAAUUGUGUUUUGGUGAUGGUGAUGUGUUUGUAGAUCUUACUUUACUAAACAUUCUUGCUGCUUACAAUUAUCUCUAUCUAUAACAGUACUUUCUGUGGAAAAUGUUAUUGAAAAUCUUCAAAUUUUAAGAAAAUUG
RNAcentral lists this long non-coding RNA (218 nucleotides) under Mytilus galloprovincialis (Mediterranean mussel). The record is from RNAcentral. Lineage: Eukaryota; Metazoa; Mollusca; Bivalvia; Mytilida; Mytilidae.